RNAcentral lists this long non-coding RNA (201 nucleotides) under Physcomitrium patens. RNAcentral describes it as "long non-coding RNA (PPAT_LNC013822)". The record is from RNAcentral. Lineage: Eukaryota; Viridiplantae; Streptophyta; Bryopsida; Funariales; Funariaceae.
ACAUCUCUUGGAGUUCUAGCUCACCUUUUUGGUGUUGUUUUUGUACUCAUCUGUUUAAUCUAGUUCUGCCACUUCUUCUUGAACUUCUUGUUAGAUUUCAAGUCUGUAUUUUGUGUCCGUGACACAUAGUUGUUCUGGAAUAGGUAAUUGCUAAAAAAGACUAUAAGAUCAAUGGCAAGGAGUUUUGGAACUUGAAGGAAU